ACAUGCAGUCGAGCGGUAGAGAGAAGCUUGCUUCUCUUGAGAGCGGCGGACGGGUGAGUAAUGCCUAGGAAUCUGCCUGGUAGUGGGGGAUAACGUUCGGAAACGGACGCUAAUACCGCAUACGUCCUACGGGAGAAAGCAGGGGACCUUCGGGCCUUGCGCUAUCAGAUGAGCCUAGGUCGGAUUAGCUAGUUGGUGAGGUAAUGGCUCACCAAGGCGACGAUCCGUAACUGGUCUGAGAGGAUGAUCAGUCACACUGGAACUGAGACACGGUCCAGACUCCUACGGGAGGCAGCAGUGGGGAAUAUUGGACAAUGGGCGAAAGCCUGAUCCAGCCAUGCCGCGUGUGUGAAGAAGGUCUUCGGAUUGUAAAGCACUUUAAGUUGGGAGGAAGGGCAUUAACCUAAUACGUUAGUGUUUUGACGUUACCGACAGAAUAAGCACCGGCUAACUCUGUGCCAGCAGCCGCGGUAAUACAGAGGGUGCAAGCGUUAAUCGGAAUUACUGGGCGUAAAGCGCGCGUAGGUGGUUUGUUAAGUUGGAUGUGAAAUCCCCGGGCUCAACCUGGGAACUGCAUUCAAAACUGACUGACUAGAGUAUGGUAGAGGGUGGUGGAAUUUCCUGUGUAGCGGUGAAAUGCGUAGAUAUAGGAAGGAACACCAGUGGCGAAGGCGACCACCUGGACUAAUACUGACACUGAGGUGCGAAAGCGUGGGGAGCAAACAGGAUUAGAUACCCUGGUAGUCCACGCCGUAAACGAUGUCAACUAGCCGUUGGAAGCCUUGAGCUUUUAGUGGCGCAGCUAACGCAUUAAGUUGACCGCCUGGGGAGUACGGCCGCAAGGUUAAAACUCAAAUGAAUUGACGGGGGCCCGCACAAGCGGUGGAGCAUGUGGUUUAAUUCGAUGCAACGCGAAGAACCUUACCUACUCUUGACAUCCAGAGAAUUUAGCAGAGAUAGUUUAGUGCCUUCGGGAACUCUGAGACAGGUGCUGCAUGGCUGUCGUCAGCUCGUGUUGUGAAAUGUUGGGUUAAGUCCCGCAACGAGCGCAACCCUUAUCCUUUGUUGCCAGCACGUAAUGGUGGGAACUCAAAGGAGACUGCCGGUGAUAAACCGGAGGAAGGUGGGGAUGACGUCAAGUCAUCAUGGCCCUUACGAGUAGGGCUACACACGUGCUACAAUGGCAUAUACAAAGAGAAGCGAACUCGCGAGAGCAAGCGGACCUCAUAAAGUAUGUCGUAGUCCGGAUUGGAGUCUGCAACUCGACUCCAUGAAGUCGGAAUCGCUAGUAAUCGUAGAUCAGAAUGCUACGGUGAAUACGUUCCCGGGCCUUGUACACACCGCCCGUCACACCAUGGGAGUGGGUUGCAAUAAGAAGUAGGUAGCUUAACCUUCGGGAGGGCGCUACC
RNAcentral lists this ribosomal RNA (1409 nucleotides) under Pseudomonas sp. SGb396. RNAcentral describes it as "bacterial SSU rRNA". It matches the Rfam family "Bacterial small subunit ribosomal RNA". Lineage: Bacteria; Pseudomonadati; Pseudomonadota; Gammaproteobacteria; Pseudomonadales; Pseudomonadaceae. The record is from RNAcentral.